UACCAGCACCCCGAGUGGUCGUCGCGAUUAUUGGGCCUAAAGCAUCCGUAGCCGGUCAUGCAAGUCUUCCGUUAAAUCCAGCCGCUCAACGGUUGGGCUGCGGAGGAUACUACGUGGCUAGGAGGCGGGAGAGGCAAGCGGUACUCAGUGGGUAGGGGUAAAAUCCUUUGAUCCAUUGAAGACCACCAGUGGCGAAGGCGGCUUGCCAGAACGCGCUCGACGGUGAGGGAUGAAAGCUGGGGGAGCAAACCGG
This 253-nucleotide ribosomal RNA is filed under the name uncultured bacterium. RNAcentral's name for it is "partial 16S ribosomal RNA". It matches the Rfam family "Archaeal small subunit ribosomal RNA", at positions 474 to 727 of the family's 1478-position model. The record is from RNAcentral.